CCAAGCAUCUGUGGUCUGUAUCAUGCUACGUUAAACAGGUGUCCUCACCAAGUUUGGUAUCAGUAUGACCACCAGGUCAUCUAAGGAGGGCUGCACUGGCCCAGGUCAGAAAUGAAGCAGGUCAAAGCCCCUGUGCUGUCCAGUAGUGGGAUAGAGUCUGUGAGAAGACGCUGCAGUGCAGCCUUGG
Molecule: small RNA, 187 nt
Filed under: Salmo trutta (river trout)
Lineage: Eukaryota; Metazoa; Chordata; Actinopteri; Salmoniformes; Salmonidae
Description: Metazoan signal recognition particle RNA (ENSSTUG00000002027.1)
Rfam family: Metazoan signal recognition particle RNA
About the family: The signal recognition particle (SRP) is a universally conserved ribonucleoprotein. It is involved in the co-translational targeting of proteins to membranes.
Source: Rfam by way of RNAcentral